AUACGUAGGUGGCGAGCGUUGUCCGGAAUUAUUGGGCGUAAAGGGCGCGUAGCGGGAUAGUCAGUCUGUUGUAAAAGUUCGGGGCUCAACCCCGUGAAGCAAUGGAAACUGCUAUUCUUGAGUGCAGGAGAGGAAAGUGGAAUUCCCAGUGUAGCGGUGAAAUGCGUAGAUAUUGGGAGGAACACUAGUGGCGAAGGCGACUUUCUGGACUGUGUCUGACGCCGAGGCGCGAAAGCCAGGGGAGC
RNAcentral lists this ribosomal RNA (245 nucleotides) under uncultured bacterium. RNAcentral describes it as "partial 16S ribosomal RNA". It matches the Rfam family "Bacterial small subunit ribosomal RNA", at positions 523 to 769 of the family's 1533-position model. The record is from RNAcentral.